RNAcentral lists this ribosomal RNA (500 nucleotides) under uncultured bacterium. Its description in RNAcentral is "bacterial SSU rRNA". It matches the Rfam family "Bacterial small subunit ribosomal RNA", at positions 28 to 514 of the family's 1533-position model. The record is from RNAcentral.
GAUGAACGCUAGCUACAGGCUUAACACAUGCAAGUCGAGGGGAAACGAUAUUGGAAGCUUGCUUCUGAUAGGCGUCGACCGGCGCACGGGUGAGUAACGCGUAUCCAACCUGCCCAUCACUUGGGGAUAACCUUGCGAAAGUAAGACUAAUACCCAAUGACGUCUCUAGAAGACAUCUGAAAGAGAUUAAAGAUUUAUCGGUGAUGGAUGGGGAUGCGUCUGAUUAGCUUGUUGGCGGGGUAACGGCCCACCAAGGCGACGAUCAGUAGGGGUUCUGAGAGGAAGGUCCCCCCACAUUGGAACUGAGACACGGUCCAAACUCCUACGGGAGGCAGCAGUGAGGAAUAUUGGUCAAUGGACGAGAGUCUGAACCAGCCAAGUAGCGUGCAGGAAGACGGCCCUAUGGGUUGUAAACUGCUUUUAUAAGGGAAUAAAGUGAGUCUCGUGAGACUUUUUGCAUGUACCUUAUGAAUAAGGACCGGCUAAUUCCGUGCCAGCAG